This 31-nucleotide non-coding RNA is filed under the name Mus musculus (house mouse). Lineage: Eukaryota; Metazoa; Chordata; Mammalia; Rodentia; Muridae. The record is from RNAcentral.
UAGUUGAUGUAGACCCUGAGAAAAUGAAAGC